Molecule: ribosomal RNA, 496 nt
Filed under: uncultured bacterium
Lineage: Bacteria
Description: partial 16S ribosomal RNA
Rfam family: Bacterial small subunit ribosomal RNA
Source: RNAcentral
ACUCAAAUGAAUAGACGGGGGCCCGCACAAGCGGCGGAGCAUGCGGCUUAAUUCGAUGCGACGCGAAGAACCUUACCUGGGUUUGACAUGCAGGGUGAAACCCGCAAAAGCGGGCGCUCUUCGGAGCCUGCACAGGUGGUGCAUGGCUGUCGUCAGCUCGUGCCGUGAGGUGUUGCCUUAAGUGGCGCAACGAGCGCAACCCUUGUCCUUAGUUGCCAGCGGGUCAUGCCGGGAACUCUAAGGAGACUGCCGGUGCCAAACCGGAGGAAGGUGGGGAUGAGGUCAAGUCAUCAUGCCCCUUAAGCCCAGGGCUGCACGCAUGCUACAAUGCGCGAUACAGAGGGCUGCGAUCCCGUAAGGGGGAGCGAAUCCCACAAAUUCGCGCUCAGUUCGGAUCGAGGUCUGCAACCCGACCUCGUGAAGUCGGAGUCGCUAGUAAUCGCAGAUCAGCAAUGCUGCGGUGAAUACGUUCCCGGGCCUUGUACACACCGCCCGU